GCUGCUGCUGCUGCCUGCCCACCCCAAGUGUGGAAACUGAAAUGGCCCAGUAGAAUUCCAGCCCUGGUGAGGAGCCACAGAGGGGAUCAAGACAGAUCGCCAGAGCGCCAGCUCCCUUCAACACACAGCAACAGGCUCCUGCAUCGAUCCUCCAGCUAUUGGGUCUAAGCUGCCACUUUAUAACUCCUCCAGCUUACUUUAGCUCCAGCACUAUUGUUGGAUGCAGAGGUGGUCGGAAGGCAAUGUACGCAGUGACUCUACCUUCCUAGCUUUGGUUGUGCUUGUAGGACCACUCACACUGCAUGGACAACAGCAGCCUCUAUAACCAGGAAAUGACUUCACAUCAAUCUCGGCUGCUCAUCCUCUUGGUCACUUUAACCCCUCCAACUACUUCUCUGCCUGCCUUUUGGAAAGAAGAGUAAGCCUUGUCCUCCUUUACCCGGACUUCCCAUGUUACCUCCCACCUCUUAAGAAUCUUGCAUCAUUUUCCCAUGUCAUGGAAGGAUUUAUACCUGAUAUUUGACCUUCCAUUAACAUUGUUCUGCUCCAGCGUGGGAAGGUAAGUUGACAUUGUCAGGCUUGAUACUGAGUACUGACUUUACAAGACCAGAGCCACGGGACUUCUCUAUGACCAACGCCCACCUCUGGAGUCAGGCUUACAAGCAAACCUUGAUCAUCAUGGAUCUCUUGAUGACAGUCACUGAUGCAGUGUGAAGCAAUGGUCAGUGUAGUGUCUGAACUGGUUUCCAGGACACCUUUCACUAGGGAGCAACUCACUGAUUUGGCAAGAGAAAAUGAACUAAACUGGGACUCCAGGGUACUAAUCUGUGUGAAUCCUGCACCUGAAGGUAAGAUUGAGUACAGUAAGUAUCUGUUGGUGGUAGAAGAUGAGUCUCUGAAGCCUGGUCUUGAUGUGCUGAAAAUGAUCCCAUGAAGUGCCCUGUGCCAGGAUCCAUGACACACAGGAAAGUUAUCAUUGAUUUGCUCAACUGAAGAGCAAUGGGAGACUGAGAGACUGCAGAGGUGUGACAAGGGAGGAGCCAGCUUCUCUGCUGUAGUUGGCCACCAGCUCCAUUCUGACCGUCUGAUCCUGGCCUGUUAACAAACACUGAUGUAUAUUACAGGCUUUGACCAGAUCUUCCCAGCAGGAUGAGAGCCAUCUUGUACUGUCACUUACUUCUAGAUCCCUGAUCCUCUGGUGAGUCCCAUGCGCACACAACAAGAUCCAGUCAGUUUGAUCAGAGAGAGAGAAAUUUUCAGUUUGUGGGUAUCACCUGGUGACAGGCUCUGUUUCUGUGGCACAUCAGUGAAGGCAGAGUUUUAGACAUGGUAGAGGAGUCUGUUGAAUUCUGGAAAUGAGAUAAGGAAAUUUCUUGAAUCCUCAUUUUAUAGUUAUUUGUGUGUUUUUUUUUUUAAGAUUGGGUCUCACUCUAUAGCCCUGGCUAUCCUGAGAGACUCUUUGUAGAACAUGCAGUUCUCAAACUCACAGUGAUGGACCCCCUUCUCUGCUUCCUGACUUCAGCGUUUACAGAUGUGGACUCACAUGCCUGUCUUCAAGUGCUGGAUAGCAUCAAUGGUAAAUUCCUGCAAACAUUUGAGGCGGAAGGAGACAAUUCUGUGCUUCUUUCAUCCUGACAGUGUCAGGGACUGAACUGAAGGUUCUGUUAUCCAGGAUGGACUACAAACAACAGCAAAUUCCAAUUCUAACCCUCAGAAUAGAAGUCCAUGUCCACCAGUGAACAGAUACCUGCAGGAUUCCCACUGCCAUCCAGGCACACAUCCCAUGACUUCAACCUGUCCAAUCAGGAGAGUCCAGACUGGCUACCUGGUCUGAUGGAUUGAGUUCUUUCCAUUUGAGCCAUGAGAUCACAGCUGAGGACUCAAGGUGUGGCCUGAGACAGCAGAAGUAGGAGCUCUGCAGGAAGUCCAGAUGGCAGUGUGCCCACUUCCCCAGCAUAGAGGGUCUCUGUCCAGCACAGGAGGAGGAAAGUGACAGCAAGCUGGAGGAAAAUGGGUACCACAUCGAUGGAAUGCAGAGAAUUUGCUCCACUUUGGAAACUAGCAUGGCAUUGUCGGAGCUCCAGAGGAACUCAGAGAUUCCACACAGCAACAGGAGGACAUGCUGUGGAGGACAAUGACAUGGUUUCUCUUCCACCAUCCAACUACAGACAAGGACUCCAAGUUAACCACAAGAACUGUGGAAUCUACAGGAGUGGGCCCUUUUGAAAGCCUCCCAUUGAUAAUCCUGAAAACCUGCCUGACCAUGUAAAGAAAUAUCUCAGAGGAGCCUUGGGAAUUAAAUGUGCUUCCCUUCCUGAACUCUUGGGUGGAUACGUGAGAAGGGCAGUAUCCAUGGACCACCUGUCCCAGGCUUCCACUAACAUGAAGAAGGAGAACUUGAGGUCAUACCCUCGGCCCAUCUUUAACUGGUAUUAGACAGAGACAAUUUUCAAACAAAUACUGAUGCACUUAAUUAGAAUAACAACAUAAUUUCUAUAAAAUGGCAUUCAGAAUGUUUGACCCCUGGAGGAGAGAAAUCUGAAGCUAUAUGAGCUCUCAGUUCUACCAGUUGUUCUUCUAAAGGUAACAGAUGUUUUCACUUCAUCUAUACACUCAGCAAAAUCCAGUCUGAUGCUCAAACACAAGACGUAAAAACCAACUGGACCUAAACCUAGAAGAGAGGGCAAGAGGACAGGACAGAUUCCUGCAGACCAUCAUCUUCUUCUUCCAGGACUUCCCACCAAGUCUCAGAGAUCCACAAAGUGCUACAGGGAAGUAAUGGAGACAGGACAUAUGGAACAGAAGAGAAAGUUAAGUAACAGACCCAGUGAAAUCCUGCCAGCUGAUGUUCUCAUAGUCAACCAGGGAAAUCAAGGCAGAGAGUGUGGCUUGUCCACAAUUGACUGCAGAAGAAGAUUUAAAAACAAGAAUAAGGAACCCCUUUU
Non-coding RNA from Peromyscus maniculatus bairdii (prairie deer mouse), 2945 nucleotides. Lineage: Eukaryota; Metazoa; Chordata; Mammalia; Rodentia; Cricetidae. The record is from RefSeq and is a predicted model, not a curated record.